This is a non-coding RNA of Nelumbo nucifera (sacred lotus), 424 nucleotides long. The record is from RefSeq and is a predicted model, not a curated record. NCBI's taxonomy places the organism in Eukaryota, Viridiplantae, Streptophyta, Magnoliopsida, Proteales, Nelumbonaceae.
AAAGGAAAAGUGAGAUGGUGCUGGAUGGAUGACACUGUAGAGAUUUCUUCCUCCUCUUCUUCAUUGAUGUUGUCUACGGAAUUGGGUCCAGCUCAUUGAUCUCCUCCUUCCAUUGUUUCAGGGUCCAGCGGUAUUAAAGCAGGCUUCAGGAUUUUGUCUCCAACAACUUACAUAUUCUUUGCUUCUGCUAUCCCAGUUAUGUCAUUUGGUGAACAGUUGGACAGGAAUACAGAAAGCAUUUCUGUUUUCUAGAUGGGAUUCUAACAACAGUUCAGACAUUGGCAUCUACUGCUUUGUGUGGGAUUAUACACUAUUAUUGGAGGUCAGCCUUUGCUGAUUCUUGAAGUGGCAGAACCUACUGUGCUUAUGUACACGUUCAUGUUUAACUUUUCCAAAGACAGACCUGAUUUGGGACCAAAACUCU